This 1601-nucleotide long non-coding RNA is filed under the name Daphnia magna. Its description in RNAcentral is "uncharacterized LOC116932248, transcript variant X9". The record is from RNAcentral. Lineage: Eukaryota; Metazoa; Arthropoda; Branchiopoda; Diplostraca; Daphniidae.
UCGAUCCUCGAUCGUCUGCAGUAGAAAUUCAUCAGAUGUAGCCUAGUUGUUAGAAAUUCCAGACGUGUUCAGCGGGUAGCUAAUAAAUGUUCAGUGCGUUCCGUUUUAAACAUUCUUUUGGCUACUCGUUAAUACGCUGAAAUUUUUCAUUUUUUCAAACCAACCUGAGGGACACUUUUUCACGACACACACGAUUGUUUGAAAGUUGAUUUUUCACUAGACUUCAUUUGAAUGUGCAGUUCCUAUCCUCAACCCUACAGUGUGCACAAAUAGGCAAUGGAAAAAAUCUGCUCAUUGUGCUGAUCUGUGGAAUUUUUAGCUGUGGACUUUCUUUAGAUGACUCUUGUAUCGUAACUAUUUUCCUCUUCUUGGAACAAGGAACAUAAGAGUUCUUGAUGCUAACUAAGUGUUAUUGGAAAGAUUGUAAAAAGAUGUUAAGCAGGAAAUGCCUAAAGUCCUACGAGCUACGAAAGUUUUACCUACAAAUGUUUAGCGUUUCGUGCUGCAACUAGUAGUUGAUAUUCAAGGAUGUUAUGCCUAAAAUUGGAAUUCAGCUAUCCGAGAUUAGCAACAUUCAAACGGAAACUCUAGAUGGCGUUGAUGUGCGUCUAUGAUGAAGAUUAUGAGUGACAAGUUAAAUGGGUGUUUGUUACGUUACCCUGUUAUGUGUUUCAAAGGAUUUUUGCGUCAAAAAAUAUACGAUUGCUUUUUGUAAGUGGUGGUGUUGCGCGUUGUCAACUAUGCCAGCUGCUGGACCAGUAGCCUGCUGUCCUGCUAUCAAUGUACCACAAGAGAUCCUGACACUUUAAGAAGGCAACUAUUGCUUACAUGAAGAUCACCAUCCAGUUCAAUCAACGACAGAGUCUUCAUCUACUUUGUGUUGCUAACCAUCAGCCCUCAGCAUCCCAGGUAUCCAGAUUUCCAAGUUUCUCUGAUUAGUUAACCAUCAUCCAUACCCUUCAGCUCUUCAUUGUGGCUUCUCUUCCUCUCAUCUUAGUCUGCUGAAUGCCAACAUUGAAUAAUGUUCAUCAUCAUUGCCUUUCCAUGAAAAUCUUCAUUGUUAAUCCUGCUGUUCUUCUCACCGUUACUUAGCCAGCUCACAUGGAUAGGCUUUAACAACAUCUCCAUUUUUUGGACUGCAAAUAUUCAUUUUCCUUCGGUACAACACUGCCUUUUUGACAAUUUUGGUAGUUUCGCCCCCAGUGGACCAAACGCAACUACAUUUUCUUCGUCUUCCUGUCGUUGUUGUCUACGACUUACCCUCAUCGCUGUCUUCGUUGACGUCUUCGCCUUCAUCUCCGUCUCAUCGUCUUGGUCGUCUUCGCCUUCAUCUCCGUCUCGUCGUCUUCGCCGUCUUUGUCUCGUCGUCUUCGCCGUCUUUGUCUCGUCGUCUUCGCCGUCUUUGUCUGCGCCAUCACCUUGUCACCGGCUUCUCCUUCGCCCUUCACGAGGGAAUUCACCGUGGAUCGUCGCUCUGGUAUUGUUUUAUUUUGCAUUGUAAUUGUUAAGUUAACCCGUUGGCUGCCACCCCGUUUGCGUCCCAUUUUUGUUGUAGCUUGUAGGGACCGGCCGCAAUGGCCUUCGCCGCAAGGCGCCUUAGG